CAUACACUUUCUUAAAAGGUCCAUGGUAACCUUUGUUAGUUAUUUUCUGAUGUUAAGGCAUCGAUUAUUAAAAUAAUUUUUGCUCAGUAUAGUCCUGAAAAUACCUGAAAAUGUCAAUAUUUUUAAAAUUGAGAGAACUAGAUAUGGUGUUUUCAAAAUAUGAAGAUUCUUUAAAAGUAUGGGAAAAUCUAACUAAAAGAUGAGUUUAUUUUGAUUAAAAAUGUUUUAAAAUCCUUGUAUAGAAUAUUUUCAUAAUAUUUGUACCCUUUUAAAUAUAUAACAUAUUUAACACUCCUCCCUGUAUGAGGUGGAGCCUAAUCCACUAUUUAUUGUGAACUGAAUUAAGACUCAAUGAUUCGAUUUAGAAUAAAACCUAAAUAGACAGGGAUGAAUUUGAAAAUUGGGUCAUAAAACUCACUGUUCUCUUAUCCUUCCCUUCUAGAAUUCCUCUAGAAUUAUGGAUUCUAGAAUACUCAUAAGUAUUCAUUUGGAAGAAUACCAGGUGAGGAACUAGGAUCUCACACCAGUACAACCAGAAGCUGCAGACACCUGCCAGGAAACUGUUUGUCAUAAAAUCUACUGCAAGAGAAAAUGGAUUGCAGGUGUUAAUAAUGUGUUUGUGAUGAGGCUCUUCUGAAAGACUGUAAGGUCUCACUGGCGUUAACCUAUCCGGAAGGUGCACGCGUGCAACUGGUGCCAUGACUUGGAUCGCUGCGACGUGGAAAGAAGGAAGAAAAAAAUCCAAUCUGGACCCCAGAAAGACGGACAAGAACAAUAGAAUGGCAAGAUGAUCGUGAUCCUACUCCUACUAGUAACGACGCCACUGUCACCGACGAUGGCCAAGCCGGAUGAGUAUUGGGGUCUCUUGAGAGCCCUACCUCUCCCUCUACCUGUUUCUAAUUCUUCUAACCUUCUGCCAGUUGUGUAUUUGCAUAACUCUACCAUAGAUGAAAGAUUCGGAGUGCCUUACAACAGUCUUGUCAAUUCUUCCCAUCAGGGUCAGGUUAACUUAUCCAUCCACCUUUUGGGAGCACUAUGCUUCCACACGCCUAAGUUUGGCACAGAUCUUUGUGGUUAUAAUCAUACCAGCUUUCCUACGCCAUGUAUUAAUUUGGCCACUUAUUCCAUGGGAGAUGUUAUCAACUGGAAUAAGUCAGGUAGUUCUUACAUAGCCAAUAUUACAGGGGAACUUAUAGCCUUUCGAUCUGAGUCGCUACCUCUCAGGUGCCAGGACAGGAGUUAUUUCCUCAUGUGUUAAAGGAAAAUUAAAUGAAGCGGAAACACUGGUGGCUGUGCGGAUUCCUAUUUGGGUUCCUGUACCAGUUGCGGCGUCUGAGAAGGACUUCUCUCUGGCUGUUCGACACAGGAGAGACUUUGGAGUCACCGCAGUUGUCGUUGCAGUAAUUGCGGUGUUAUCAGCUGGUGCAGCCGCUAUUGGCAUGGCCGUGAGCCAAACCUCCACACUGUCCACACUUGAUAGCAUCACAAGAUCUACCGCCCAGGCACUUGAUGAUAUACUGCUAUUCAGCUGUUAACUCAACGAACGGAUUUAUUGCAAGAUCAGACCUGGUUGGCAUACCCUGUGUUAUUCGAUCUACUGCAGUUUGUGUUACCGCCUACCCCUACAACCACUUUUCAUUUGCCGCUAAUCAGUCCCAUCUUUUGGGUAGCAUGUUAAAUGGUAGUUGGAAUAAAACAAUGGGCCGCUAUUAUAGGGUUGGCUCUUGUGCUUAUAACAGGAUCAAUUAUUGCUCGGAUCUUGCAAGGGCUGUUCAGGCAUCAGCGUAAUACGCAAAUGGUGGUUAAACAAGCCAUGCUAACAUUCAAUAACCAGUACCCCAUGCAAAAUGGACAGAUUCAGGUGUGGCUGAAUCUGCUGGACUGGUAGUCAAAGACGGGUAAAUUCUGAGAGGUCUUCAAGGCAACCAAACAGGGCAUGAACGCUUCCUCCACACCUCAUGUUUAUGUGCCAAUGACGGGUAAGCCCAAUAGAUGCUCUUGGUCACCUAAGACAGGCACGGUACCACUCCAUUUUGCAAAGAAAUAAGGGGGAGAUGUUGGGGAAUGGGACAGCCUGGCCAGCUGUGCCCCUCCCAACAUGUACAAGCACGAGAAAUUUAGUGCUGGGCUUUUUCCACCCUGUCCAUUGCUAACCGCAGGAUUCUGUUUUGACUUUAAGCAUCCUGUUAUUGCAUGUUUCCCACAUUUACUAAGUUUUGUUUCUUGCUGAUUUGGUAACAUGUUUUCCGCAUAUCAUAUAUAAACAGGUGGACGGUGGGAGGGAGAUAUAUAAGAGGGCUGGAGGAGGCGAAGACGGUGGGCGUACACGAGAUGUAACCCGAGUCUGCUGAAAAAUAAAGUGGAAGCUGAAAAGCUGAUAAACGCGUCUGGUGUCUCCGAGGUCUCGCUGGCAUUAACCUAUCCAGAAGGUGCACGCCCACACUCUGCCAUUUGGGGCAAUGGGACUCGUUGGGCUUUUAAUAUUCCCUGGCUUUUCCGCAUCUCAACUUGUCCUGAUAAAAUUUUUUUCCUGAACAUUUGUUUUUUUCACAACUCAUGAACAAUAUUUUCCAAAAUUAUUUAAAAUUAAAAUAUAAUUUACACAUAAAGGUGUUUUUGCUUUGGGAUUAAUCACAUUUCUUUUUUUUUUUUUUGGUAUUGGUGUUAUGGUAUUUAGGAAAUAAAAAUGAAAAAAUAAAUAAAAAACCAUUUUAAAAUUGUAAUGAAGAAGACAAUUACAUGUAACUUAACAGGAUGCUAGCCAAUCACUUAAAAAAUAUACUCUUUUCCACAAAAUAGCAUACUGGCAAAAUCAACAAACCAAUUCUAAUUUUUGUAUGAGAGGUGAAUGACCAAACUAGCUUAAAACAGUGAGGGAGAGGAAAAACAUUAGAGGGUUACUGCUAUACAACACAAGGCAAUAUGGGAUUGGAUUAGUGAAAGAACAGACAAAUAGAUCAGUGGGACAAAACAAAAAGCCCAGAGUGAGAUCCAUAUAACAUAUAGUCAAUGAAUCUUUGAUAAUAAAACAAAGACAAUACAACAGAUCAACAACAGUCUUUUCAACAAUCUUGAUUGGACAAAUACACAACCAUAUGAGAAAAGAAGAAUCUAGACAGAGAUGAUAUACUCUUCACAAAAAUUAACUUAAAAGAGAUCACAGACUUAAACAUAGAAAAAAAAAACUGUAAAAUUCCUUAAAGUUAAUAUUGAAGAAAAUUUAGAUGACAUUGCAUUUGUGAUUACUUCUUACAUAUAUCAGUAAAGGUACAACCCAUGAAAGGAAGAGCUGAUGAAAUAUACUUCUUUAAAAUUAAAAAAAACUGAAGCUGGUGCUAUGGUGUAGUGGAUUAAAGCCGCUUUCUACAGUGCCUGCACCCCAUAAGGGCUCCUGUUUGAGGCCCGGUUGCUCCACUUCUGAUCCAGCUCCCUGAUAAUGCACCUGGGAAAGCAAUGGAAAAUGAUCCAAGUGUUUGGGUCCCUGCAGCCACAUGGGAGACCUGGAUGAAGACCCUGGUUCCUGACUUUGGAUCAACCCAGCUCCAACCACUGCAGUUCACUGGAAGUGAACCAGCAGAUGGAAAUAAAUCUUUUUAAAAAAUUAAAAUGUUCUGUAAAAGACAGUAUCUAAAGAAUGACAAGUCAAAAUCUAGAAAUAAUUUCCAAAGAUAUAUCUAUUAAAGAAUUGGUAUCCAAAACAUACAAAUAAUUCUUUUUUAAAAGAUUUAUUUAUUUAUUUGAAAGACAGAGUUACAGAGAAGGAGGAGCAGAGGCAGAGAGAGAGAUAUUCCAUCUGCUGGUUCACUCCCCAAAUGGCUGCAAUGGCUGGAGCUGGGCCAGGCCAAAGCCAGGAGCCAGGAGCUUCGUGUGGGUCUUUCAUAUAGGUGCAGGGGCUCAAGGACUUGGCCCAUACUCUGCUGGUUUCCCAGGCACAUUUACAGGAGCGGCAUAGGAAGUGGAGCUGCCAGGACUCAAUCCGGCUCCCAUAUGGGAUGCCGGUGCUGCAGGCUGUGGGUGGCUUUACCUGCUAUGCCAUAGCACCAGCCCCACAAAUAAUUCUUAAUAGUCAUCAAUAAGAAACAAAAUCCCAAUUCAAAAACAGAUCAAAUAUUAUAAUAGACAUCUCAGGGAAGAAGAUACACAGAUGGCAAAUAAGCAAAUGAAAAGCUUACCCACUUAAUUAGUUAUUAGAGAAAUACAAAUUAAAACAAAAUAAGAUAAUAUCAUACAUCUAUUAAAAUGGCCAAAAUCUAAACCAGUAAAUGUUGCUGAGCAUGUAGAGCAACAGGAACUCUCGUCUGUUGCUGGUGGAAAUGAAAAAUGGUACAGCUACUUUGGAAGAUAAUUUGGAACUUGCCAACAGAACAACAGAUUAUUAGCAGUUUGACCAAUCCACCAUGCUCUUUUGUAUCUACCCAAAGCCGUUGAAAACAUAUUUCUACAUAAAAACCUGCACCUGGAUGGUAAAGUAUCUUUAUUUACAGUUACCAAAAUGUGUAAGAGCCUACGAUAUCAGUCAAUAGUGAAUGGAUAAAGUGUAGACAUUUGAAUAUUAUUCAGCACUAAAAAGACUUGAGUUCUCUACCCAUAAAGACAUGGAGAAAGCUUAAAUGCAUAUUACUAAAUAAAGGAAGAAAAUCUGUGAUAAUUUCAAAUAUAUGACAUUCUGCAAAAGGUAAAAUUAUGGAGACAAUAAAAAGGUCAGUGGUUUCUGUCUGUUAAAGGAAAGAAAGAAAUUGAAUAGGUGGAUAAUGGGAUUUUUAGUGCAAUUAAAUUAUUCCAUAUUUAUUAUAGUUGUGAAUAUCUGUCAUUAAAAGUCUGUCAAAACUCACAGCAAGUACAGCACUAACAGUGAAGCCCCAUGCACAAUAUGGGCAUUGGGCAAUAUGAGGUACUAAUGUAAGUUCAUUAUUUGUAACAAAUAUGCCCCUCUGGAAAGAGGAAUAUUGAUAACAGAGGAGGUUAUGUAAGUGUAGAAACAGAGAUUAUAUGUGAAAUCUCUGUGCCUUUCCCCAUAGUACUAAUCUAAAACUGCUGUGAAGUGGAAUCUAUUAAGUAAAAAUAUUCUUGAUUUCAAUAAUUUUGUUUGAAGGAGUUGCUACUAUUUAUAUUAGAAAGAAUGUAUGCUUCAUUUAGACCUAUUUGGAUUCAAAAUCUUUUUCAAUUUCUCACUAACUUAGUGAACUUGAACAAAUUGUGUAGUUUCUCUAAACUCAUUUGGAUAAACUGUGAAGAAUCAUACCCACCUCAUGAUAUGGAAACUGCCUUGGAUGUUAUGCUUUUUAAAAUAAAUAGUAACACCUCCACUAGCAUAUUUAAGUUGCUUUUGUCUUUGAAAUCUGUCAUUGGAAAAUAACUCUUACAUCAUUAACAACAUUUCCCCAAAUGAUGGAAUUCUGUUUUAUUCUUUUUUAUCUAAAAAUAUAAAAUGUUUUCAGCAUUGCAAGGGAAAAAAAUUGUGCAAGAGGAUUUCUAUUUGAAAGGUGGAGCUCAUCCAUAGAAACCACUUUAGAGGCAGAACAUUCAUACCAUAAGAAAGAAAAUGCCAUUCAACUCAAACAAAUGUAACUCUUCUUUAAAGGAAAUUAAUCAUUUCAUCUCAAAAAGAUUCACAAUAAAAAACAUAAAACAACAAUUCUCAUUUGUUCCAAGUCCCUAACCUGCUUACUACGUUUCCAUUUUCCCUUGGAAACGUUCUGAAGUAUUCCAAGGAUUUGUUUAGUAUUUAGCAUUACAUUUAAGAUUACUUUACAAAUAAAUUUUAAAAAUGAACAAAUUUCUAAGCUUGCCAAAAUUGUUAAAUAUGAUUUACUAUUGAUAAAUGGAGCAUGAGGACAUUCAUAAUAGCUUAAUUCUGGACAGUGUUGAAAGAUUUUGGCAAUUUUUUCAUCCUUAAGGUACAUUUUAGUAACUUGUUUUUUUACAUAGAUGUAAAAAAUACAUUUCUACCUAAUGUGCAUAAGUUAUAAGAAUAACAGUACCAAUUUAUUAAAAUGUAUGGACCCAUUUGUCCAUCGCCUAGUUAAAAACAUAUUGCUAAAACCUUAAAAACCCUACCAUAUUCUCCUCCAAUCCCAACUCCCUUCUUGAUCCGCAUAGGUAAUAAUUAUCCUGUGUUCUAACACCACAAAAACCAUUUUGUCUGUAUUAAAACUUUAUAUAAAUAGAAUCACAUAUGUUCCAUAAUGAUUACUUUAUCUUGCUCAGUUUUACGUUUUUACAUACAUUCAUUUUAGUGAGUGAAUCUUUAGUUUCUUCAUUAUUAAAACAAAGCACCUGCAACUGCAGAUAAUUUUAUGGAAGCCCACAAAAAAUACCUUAACAUUAAAGAAUGAAUUUACUGUAGCUCUGUUGUACAGUGCAGCAACCAACAACCAAAAAUAUUACUGACCAGACAAAUGAACUGAAUUGGGAACACAGCAAGGCCAAUCACCCCUGCAUUCCUGAAAAUGAUUAUGGCAAUACACUUUUCCUCAGAUGCAAUAAUUAUUUUGAAUUUAAAUAUUGUACAGGAAAGUACAGAUCACGCAAAAGACUCCCAAUUAGCUACUGCUCCAUAGGAUCCACGUAAGGCUUUGAGAAUGCCCAUUUAUAUCUAAUCCAAUUAUGUAAUUAAACCUCACAAAUAAGAAUAUAACCUAGGAUUAUUCAAGACUAUCCGGAGUUAUUAGGUCCCAUCUUUUAUUUACACUCAGUCAUUGUGGGACCCAUACUGAAGAUCACGAUGUCAUUAGUAUAAACUUAAAAUGCCAUUGCUUGCAAAGGACCUUUGAAAAAAUUCAGUAAUGCUCACAUAUUUGCUUCAGUUGAGCUACUAGUCCAUGGUCUACAUAGAAAGGGAAGUGUGCUGUCUCUCCCAGACACUGCCUCACACAACAUUAGGAUUGCAAUUUAUCAACUUAGUAUAUUCAGUGCUGCAGUCCACAUCCAACAGCCACAUCUACUUCUUUAAGAACUCUAUAAAUUUAAAUCCAUUAAAUGUGGCUACCCAGCAACCCAGUUCUCAUGGUAAUCAUUGGCUCCACUGAUCUGAUGCAGCUACUACUGUGUUGGUCCUUGCUUUGCCCUUCAACUUCAUCUCCUUUCAACAAAUCAAAGCUGAAAUCUAUUGAUUAUGUUGUCACCCAUGUGGGUGUUUAUCACCAAUAAUAAUUCCCCUAUGCCUUCAGACAUUUGACAAGCAGGUUCCACAAUUCUUUUAGAACAUUCUGAUUUCUAUGACCCUCCUUAAACAAUGGUCUUACCUCAACUUUUCUGCAAAACAGGGCUGCAGAUAAAGGUUAUGUACUCAUCCACCAUAGCUAGUGAGACAAUGGGUUUCUGAGGUCAUGAUUCCAAAGAAAACAUGUACAUCACCAGAGUGACCUUAUGGACCUACCACAGUUUGAAACUGUGCAUUAUCACUAAAAAAUAACUUAUUGUUCAGCUAUCUUUCCCUCCAAUCUCUUAUUGGCCAAAGCUUAUUAGUCCAUGAGAAUAAAAUGUACUGUUCAGAUAGCACGUGUUCUAAAUGUCAUCUUUUCAAUCACUGGGAAAGCCAGAGCUUCCAUUACUAGACACAUGAAACAGUGAAAAGCCAAAUCAAACAGAUUUUUUACUAAAGAAAAAAGCAAUCAAUCAUAUAUAAGGAUCCUUAAUCAAAUGAACAGAUUAUCUCUUAUCAAAAAUCAGGGACACCAGAGGCAGAGAGAUACAAUAUUCAGAAUUCAAAUAUAUAUAUUUGAACAUGUAUAUACAUAUAUAUUUGAAUAUAUAUAAAUACAUAUAGUUAAGUUGACAACUGUGAUAUUGCUGUAAAUGCCAAAGUUACAAAGGAGAAAAGCAUCAAGUUACCACGCUUACCACCCAGCUUAAGAAUCUUGAAAGGGAAGAGCAAUUCAAUUGUAGGCAAGAAGAAAGAAGAAGAAAUAAAACAACGGACAAAAUAAAUGAAAUAAACAGAAAAGCCAAUGAAACUAUUGUUGGUUCUUUGAAAAGAUCAAUAUAACUGGUAACCUUUUUCUGGAAUGACCAAAUAAAACUGAAAAUUGAACUUACUCAAAUGCGAAUGGAAAAGUGAGGGCCAUAACAGAACUUCACAGUUUUCCUCUCUUCACUCUUAGAAAUGUUCGCUUUCUUCAAGAUCUAUAAAGGAUUUUAAGAGAGUAAUAUGAACAAUUGCAUUAUGUAAAUUGGACAACAUUUAUUACAUAGACAAUUCUCUAAAAAGACACAAGCUAUUGAAAUGACUAAAUAAUAAAUAAAAAUAUUUUCCUAUAACAAGUUUUUUUUUUAGUUUUCUGUGACUGUCAAACAAUAAGCAAGAAGCCACAAAUUAAGUGACAUGAAACAGCAGAAUCUCUCUUCUAGUUCUGGUAGAAGUUCAAAUCAGGCAGUUAGCAAGGAUGGACAUCCUCUAAAGGCCCUAAUGUAGAUACUGUCCUUGCUUGUUCCACCUUUGGGUGGUCCAAGCACUUUUUUUGGCUGCAUCCUGCAAAUCUUAUUAUCUGUCUUUAUAUUGUUUCACUUUUCUCUCUCUGUUGUGGGUCUUUUAAAAGGAGCAUUAAAAUGGCUAAAAUCAUAACAAUACAAUAACUAAUGUUGGUGAUGAUAUGGAGGAAUUAUAAGUUUCAUGUAUUUCUGGUUGGAAUAUAAAAUGAAAUGGCUCCUUCAGAAAAUUUAUGCUAAUGAUACUGAAAGAACAGAAACUUAAUGCAAUUACUGUUUUUGGACUAGAGCCUUUGGGAAAAGAUUAGAUCAGAUUAGGUCAUUAGGGAGGAACUCUCGUGAUUGAAUCACGGUGACUAUAAGCAACAGAGAGACAGAGGGACCAUACACAUCUGUACACACACAGUCCCUGUGUUGCCCUAUGAUGCCCUGUGCUGCCUCAAGACUCUAGCAGCAAGAAGGUUAUCCUCAGAUAUGUUCCCUGGUAAUAAAAUGCUAUAUUUAGCUUAAAUUUUCUCAUUGUUUCUCAGUAUGAGUUUGCAUUUCCAGCAGCAGAAACCAACCUAUUUCUUUUGUAACAUUGUGCUAUUUUUAUUUGCUAUCUGUAAUGUAUCCUACAUACUUGAAUGCUUUACCUUCCUGUAGUUUGCAGUUCUCCAUCAGGCAAUAUAUAUAUUUAUGUAGGUUACAUGUAUUAAAUAAGUUGUUGAAAUAUUAAUUUCACUGAUACAGUAGAACACAUCUCAUAAGCAAUGUUUAUUCAUGAUUAUUUUCAAAUUUAGACAAAUGUGAGACCAAAACAAUGACUAAAAGCAAAACCAACAAAACAAAAUGUAUUUUUUUACUAUAGAGUAAAUCAAAUGAUUUUACCUAGAAAAUUAGUUGGCAUGAGGACAUGUUAGGUUACAAAUAUUUUAAAAUGAUAAUGUUGACAGUAUGAUUACCAAUGCUAUCCUUUUAUUUCUAUAAACCAAUGAUAAGAAAUUCUAGUUUCCUUUACAUAUAGGAAGACUACACGGAAUGUGAUAGUUUGGAAGACAGAGAAGACAAAAUAAAGAUGCCCUCUACUCUCUUCCUUGUACCCAAAGAAGAACCAAAGUCACUGGUGGAUAACUGCAUUUUGAGGCAAGUAUCUGAGGCAGAUGACCAAAAUUCUGCAAGAGACAGACUGAAAAUGCCUGGGCUUGGAUGGCAACAUGGAAAGAGGAGCAAAGUAUAUCAGGCAAAACUCCAGCUCCCUAGCUGAGGAGACAUCUCAGUGCAGGGGAAAGGAGAAUAGGAAAGUCUCAACAGACCCAAUCAUGAUGAAUAGCAGUGUACGUAGCCAUGUGACAGCUUCAAUGUUGUCACAGCCUUGCAGAUUCAUCCUGGUUGUGGAAGCUGCCUGGAGUCCACAUAAUAGCUUUUUUUCAAAUAACGAACACACACUAACUCACCACAAACCCCAGAACCCAAGUUCUAUAUCUUCACACCACCUUGAGAUACUGUCUGCAUUUAUAUUGCAGUAUGGGCCAGAGGUCUCUGCAUGACCCCAUACUUGGGCCUGGACAGACACUCCAUCAAAUUAGCAUAGGGAACUGCAAUCCCACAAUUUCAAUUUGAUCCAGUAGAAUUUGUCUUCGGAGGAAUGCUAUCCUCAGGUCCUGGGACUCCAAGGCUCUUGUCUCCUGAGACCAAAGAUCUGCCUCUUCAUCUCAAUACUGCUAUUUCUUACGGAUGGCUACCCACUGGAUGGGGGUGAUGCUGAGAUUUAUAGUAGUGUCACAAUACUUCGCACCACCCCCUUCCCAAUCCACCUCCCUGCCAAGAGUCAGCUACAACUGGACUCAGGGACCACUGAGAUUUCAUGUAUGUGCACUCUAGGCAGCCACCUCUACCUAUCUGAUCAGCUUGAUUUCAGCCAAUACUGCUGGGAACUGACAGCAGGUGUUACAUUCUCCCGCACCUGUCGUCUGUCAACUCACCACUUUUCAGCUGACUCUGCCAGGGACUGAAAACAGAUGCUGAGAGAAAGUGUUAAAAUCUCCCGCACCUCUUCACCUUCGACAAGCCUUGCCUGAUGCUCGUGGGGACUGAGAGUGGGUGUGUAGAGUGAGUGCUACACACCAGCCUGAUUCCUUCCUGUUCAGCUGAUCGUUGGCCUGUGCUGUUCCUGGACCUGAAGAGGGGAACUAUGCUCAACUUACAACCCUUUACAUUUCCUGGCCAAUCACUCCCGUACUCACACAGCUCUUGGAAAUGAAGGUCAGUACUAUGAGAAAGUGUGAGAGAAAAGUGAUAAGUCCCUAUUCAGAAAAUUUUCAUUAUAAUAACAGCAGGUUUCUUAUCAGAAUCCUUACAGACCAGUAGGAAAUGGAGUGAUAUAUUCCAAGUUAUAGCUACACUAACUCAGCUGCUGUGGGAUAUGAAAACAACAAAGGAAGGACUGCCUUUCCAGGCAUCUGACUGACAAAUUUUCAGCAAAAUAAUGAAAACAACAACAAUGGAGACUCCAUGGGACAAAAGGAGAGAAAACAGACACUGCUGCAGCCACAUGGCGUAGCCAGCUGCCGGCUGUGAGCCGCCAUCUUGCCAGGUUAAGGUAGGAAGAAAUUGCUGCAUGUCCCGCUGCUCCCAGUUUUAGCUGAGAAGGAAUUUCAGUCACCCAUUGACUUUUACCUCUGCCUGGGGAGCUGACUGCAGUCUAAACAACUGCUGGGCUUGGAGCAGGGUAGAAUGGUUGCUUUCCUUUCCUCCCCUCCCUGACCCGCACAGAGCACCACACUCGGCAGUGAAAAGCCAGGCAAUGUCCUGAUUCUCCUACCAGCAUUGUAGUCAGAAUCAGGGCAUUGUGCGGGGCAAAGGACAGAUCCCCUGCAUCCUUCAACUUUGGGAGUUUCUGGGCUUUAGCUACAGAGCUAUGCUCACACACUCAACAUGAGCUAGGUGAUUCUCCUAUGCUGCUGGAGGCUAACACAAGAAGCAGCUCAUAAAAAAAUCCACUCCCACCCUUGUUGAUCUGGGUAGUGAACCCAAUAUACCCUGCAACACCAUGACCACAGCAAUUCGUUUUAAAUUACUAGGUGCCACUGAAAUCUACUUGGUGACAUAGGGAAGAAGUCACCCUGUAGGACUGCAACAGGGUCCAUUUCACAUCCUAUAUUCCUAGGGCUAGGGCUGUUUGUAUUGUAAACCAUCGCACCAGUUGGAAUCUCCUAGUAGGACAUGAGGAAGGCUGCAUUUGUAUCACCCAGUCCUAGAGCCACAGAAGUUGGUGCCUCAAGCCCUGGAAUCACUGAGACUCCCAGUAGGACAAGGGGGCAGCCACCCUUGUCUCCCUCAGCACCAAGAACAAGACCCCGGCUAUCACAUUCACCAGGGAGACUCACAUAGAACUCUCUGUGGGCCAAAGAUACACAACCAAGGAAACCUCUUAAAAUCUCAAAGUCACACUUGUAUACCUACAAUCUGUAGCAAACUAGUCCACUGUGUCAGUUAUAGACACAGCUGACAUUUAUUAAGACAAAACAAAUCACCCAGAGACUACACUCUUCGGCUCACUUAGAGCCAAAGCCAAAGCAGCAAAACAAGUGAUAGCCUGCAUUCCAGCUAAACCAUAAACUCUAUUCCAAUAAAACCUACUGCACAAAGAUGGUGCAAGUACACCAGGUGGGCAAUGCCAAUAUAGGGAUACAGGAGGCAUGAAGAAGCAAGAUAGUAUGAUGCUUCCAAAAGAACACAGCCAUCCUCCAGAAUUAGAUUCUGAACUGAAGGAAAUCUAGGAAAUGAUAGACAUAGAAUUCAGAAUAAUGAUUGUAAGGAAACUCAAUAAGAUGCAAGAAAAUAAAGAUAGAUUAAAACAUUGAGGAAAUCAACAAGUGACAUGAAUGAAAAUAUUACUAAGGAGAUAACUCAUUAAAAAGCACCAAAUAGAAAUUUUGGAGAUGAGAUAUUUAAUCACUGAAAUAAAAAAAAAAGAAUAGACCAAGUGGAAGAAAGUUUCUGACCUCAAGAAAAAAAUUUUGAAACGAUUAAGUCAGACAAAAACAAAGAGAAAAGAAUUGAAAAGAAAGAAGAAAGUCUAACUGAAAUAUAGGAUACCAUUAAAUGACCAAAUAUUAGUAUUACAGAAAUUCUUAAAGGAGAAGAAAAGAAAAAGGCAUUGAGAACCUGUUAAAUGAAAUAAUAGUUGAAAAUUUCCAAGGUCCUGAAUGAGACCAUCUAGGUAGUGAACCAGUGGAUGGAAGACCUCUCUCUCUGCCUCUAGCUCUCUCUAUAACUCUUAAAAAAAGAAGUAAACAUGAAACACAUGUAACCACCAAAUUCACUGACAGAGAAUCAUUACCCACUAAACAAAAUGACAGGUCUUAGUUCUUAUCUAGCAAUACCAACCUUGAAUAUAAAUGGCUUAAAUUCACCAACAAAAAGACUUACAUUGGCUGAAUGGAUUAACAAACCAUGACCCCACUAUAGGCUGCCUAAAAGAAACUCACUUUAUAAACACACAGACUGAAAGUGAAGAGUUGGAAUAAGAUAUACUAGGGAAAUGGAAACCAAAAGCAACCAGGUGUAAAUAUCCUGUUAUGAGAUGAAAUAUACUUUAAAUCAAAACUUUAAAAAGAAAUAAAGUGCACUAUGUAUUGAUAAAAGGUUCUAUUCAGUAAGAAGACAUAACAAUCAUAAAUAUAUAUGCACCAAAGCAAGAAAAUACCCAGAUAUAUACAGCAAAUACUAUUGGACCUAAAGGAAUAUAUAGACUCUAAUGUAAUAGUAGUGGGUGACUUCAAAACACCUCUCUCAUCAAUGGACAGGUCAUCUAGACAGUAAAUCAAUAGAGAUACAUCAGAGUUGAAACAUAACAUUGAACAAAUGGAUCUAAAGACAUAUACAAUACAUUUCGUCCAGUGGCUACAGAAUACACAUUCUUCUCAUCAGUACAUGGAAAAUUUUCUAGGGUAGACUACAUAUUAGGUUACAAGUGAAGUCUAAGCAAAUUAAAAAUGACUGAACUCAUACCAUGUAUCUUCUCAAACCAUAAGGGAAUAAAACUAGAAAGCAAAGACAAGAGGAAGAAUAGAACAAUCAUAAAUACCUGUAAAUUAAACAAUAUGCUACAAUUAAACAAUAUGCUAUGUGAGAGACAGAGAGACAGAGAGAAAGGUCUUCCUUUUCCGUUGGUUCACCCCCCAGUGGCCGCUGCAGCCGGCGCACCAUGCUGAUCCGAAGCCAGGAGCCAGGUGUUUCCUCCUGGUCUCCCAUGCGGGUGCAGGGCCCAAGCACUUGGGCCAUCCUCCACUGCAAUCACAGGCCACAGCAGAGAGCUGGACUGGAAGAGGGGCAACCGGGACAGAAUCCAGCGCCCUGACCGGGACUAGAACCCGGUGUGCUGGCACCGCAAGCAUAGGAUUAGCCUAUUAAGCCGUGGUGUGGACAGAUCUAUAUCCUUAAUGAACAUAGAUGUAAAGAUUCUCAUCAAAAUAAUGGCAAAUCAAAUCCAAAACACAUCUAAAAUAUCAUGCACCAUGAUCAAGUGGAAUUUAUCCCAGCAAUGCAAGGGUGAUUCAAUAUUCACAAAUCAAUAAAUGUCAUAAAUCACAUCAAUAAAAUGAAAAUCUAAAACCAUAUGGGGGGGGGGGGCUGGUGCAGUGGUGCAGUAGGUUAAGGCCCCAGCUUGCAGUGCCGACAUCCCAUAUGGGCAGCAGUUUGAAUCCCAGUUGCUCCUCUUCUGAUCCAGCUCUGUGCUUUGGCCUGAGAAAGAUGGUUUAACCCCUUGGGCCCCUGCGCGCACAUGGGAGACCCGGAGGAGGUUCCUCACUUUGAAUCAGCUCAGCUCUGGCCAUUGCGGUCAUUUGGCGAGUGAACCAGUGAAAUGGUUCACUCUGACUUCUACCUCUCUGACUCUACCUCUCUCUGUAACUCUCUCUUUCAAAUAAAUAAAAUAAAUCUAAAAAAAAAAUAUGGUCUUCUCAAUGGAUGCAGUGAAAGCAUUUGAUAAGAUUCAUCACCCUUUCAUGAUGAAAACUCUACAGAAAUUAGGUACAGAAGGAUCAUUCCUCAAAAUUAUAAAAGCUAUAUAUAAAAAAUCAACAUCCAAUAUCAUACUGAAUGGGGAAAAGCUAAAAGGACGUCCCCUCAGAUCUGGAACAAGACAAAGAUGUCCAAUUUUGCCACUCUUAUUCAAUAUAAUACUGAAAGUUUUAGUGAGAGCAAUUAAGGAGGUGAAAGAAAUAAAGGGCAUCAAAUUGGAAAGGACAAAGUCAAAUUAUUCAUAUACACAGACCACAUGAUAUUGUACAAGAAAAAACAAUGUGGAGAUUUCUUCAAAAACUAGAAAUAGACUUGCUUUAUAAUCCAGUAAUCCCACAACUGCACCACCAUGUUCACAGCAGCCACUGUGGAAAAUCUCUACAGGAGAUUUCUUAAAUAACUGGAAAUAGGCUUGCCAUAUGAUCCAGCAGUCUCUCUACUGGGUAUGUAGCCAAAAGACUUGAACACAACAUAUCAAAGUGUUAUCUGUAACACCAUGUUUAUAGCAGCACUGUUCACAAUAGCCAAAAUUUAGAACUAAUCAAGGUUUCCAUCAUUAUAUGAAUAAAGAAAAUGUGGUAGAUAUACAAAAUGGAAUACUAAUCAGCUAUACAAACGAAUGAAAUUCUACCAUUUGCAGCAAAAUGGAUACAACUUAAGGACAUCAUAUUGACUGAAAUAUGCCAGACCCAGAAAGACAAAUACUGCAUGUUCUCCCUUACAUGUGGAACUAAAAAAAGAAGAAAAAAAUAAUAAAUGUCUCUGUGUAUCAGUGAUGCUGAAAAUAUAGCUUGUAAAUCUUUGUUUUAUACCUUUGUGAAAACAAUAGUUAAGAAUGUCUACUACUAUAAUUUUAAUGAUCUGUGAUUACUUUAAAAUUUACUAUAUAUGGGUGAAAUGGUCAUUUUUUAUCCAAUUAUUGUUUAUGGCCAUUGUCUAUAUUUCCAUUAAACUAAGGGCUUCUUGCUUUUUGUUAAAUUUAUUUUUUAAAUAUUUAUUUAUUGAUUUGAAAGAGUUACAGAGACAGAAGGGGAAAUAGUGAGAGAAAGAGAGAUCUGCCUUCCAUUGGUUCACUUUCCAAAUGGCUGCAACUGCUGGGGCUGGACCAGGCUGAAGCCAGGAGUCAGGAGACUCUUUUGAAUCUCCCACAUGGGUGCAGGAGCCCAAGCAUUUGGGCCAUCUUCCACUGCUUUCCCAGGCACAUUAGCAGGGAGCUGUAGCAGAAGUGGAGCAGCCAGGACUCAAAUUGAUAUCCAUAUGGGAUGCAGGCACUGCAGGUGUCAUCUUAACCCUGUACACCACAAUGCCAGACCAAUUGUUAAACUUCUUAUUAGGUGAAAUAUUAAGCCUUUUACUGUAAUGUAAAUUUUUAAUAUAUUAUCUCAAAAACUAAAAAACAAAGAAAAGGAAGGAGGGUGGGAGAGGGAGAGGGGGAGGGAGGAAGGAAGGGAAUACCAUUGUGUUCUUAGAAUUUUUUCUACAAAGCACAUAGAAUCUGUUGAAACUAAUUAAAAUUAAAAAAAAAAUCUGAAAGAAGACUAUUUCAUCCAGUGAAGCUAUUUUCAUAAAGGAAAAUAUAGAUAUUCCAAAACAAGCAAAAACUGAAGGAAUUCAUCACCAUAAGAAUAGCCUUAUAAAAGAUGCUGAAGUGAGUCCUAGAGACAAAAAACAAGGAUAAUUACCAUCAGGAAAAGAAGCAGAAGCAUAAAACACACUGCAAAAAGAGCAAAGGAUAUUCAAAAUAAUGACAAGAAAUUUUCAAAUGAUUGGACUAAGUCAUUAUUUAAAAAUAAUAACUUUGAAUGUAAAUGAACUAAAUUAUCCAAUAAAAGAUAUAGAUUCACUGAAUAAAUAAACAAGAGCAAACAAUAUGCUGGCUACAUGGAAUUCACUUCACCAUUAAAGACAUAGACAGAAAGGGAAAUAGUCAUAAAAAGUACUCUAUGCAAACAGAAAUCAAAUAUGAGUAGAAGCAACUGCAGUUACAUCAGACAAAAUAAACAUUACAAAAAUCUCAUGAUUAAGGUAAAUAUUUUUUGAAUUUUACAUCAAAAGCAUAAGCAAUAAAAGCAGAAACAGUCUAAUGGGAGUAUAUCAAACUCACAAGCUCCUGUUCUGAAAAGAAAAAAUGAAGGACUGAACAGAAAACAUAUAGAAUGGGAGAAAAUAUUUGCAAACUCUUCAUCUGACAAAAGAGUAAUAUCUAGGACAAAUAAGAAACGCAAAAAACUUGACAACAGUAAAACAAUCCAGGUAAGCCAUUAGCAAAUAAGCUAAGAAAACAGUUCUCAAAAGAAGAAAUACAAAAGGGUCAACAAGUACAUGAAAAAAAAUCUCAGUAUCACCACCUAUCAGGGAAAUGCAAUUCAAAAUCACAAUGAAAUAUCAUUUCACUCAAAUUAAUGUCUAUUAUCAAAAAGACAGAAAAUAACAAAUUCCAAUGAAGAUUUAAGAAAAAUGGAACCCUUAUGUCAUGUUGUUGGGAAUCCAAAUUAGUAUAGCCCUCAUGAAACUGUAUGGCUAAUUCCUCAAACAGCUAAAAACAGAUCCACCCUGUGACAGAGGUUUCCAAUUUUUGAAGGAAAUGAAGUCAGCAUAUGAAAGCCAUAGUCCCAACUUCCAUGUUCUUUGCAACACUUUUCAUAACAGCCAACAUACAGAAUCAACAUAGGUGUCCAUCAAUUAAUGGACAAAUAAUAUAUGACAAACAUUAGCAAUGGAAUAUCAUUCAGUCAUGAACAAAAAUGAAAUCAUGACAUUAGCCAAAAAUUGCAUUAAACUAAAUUAUAAUAAGCAAAAUAAACCAGUCAAUGGAGAGAUAAAUACUAUAUAUUCAUAUUCAUCUAUGCAAUUUAAAAGUAGUAUAUAUGAAUUGAAAACAGUGAUUACUAGAAGUUGGGUUAUGAUGUAUGCAUGUGUUGAAAUAUUACCCUGUACCCAU
Molecule: non-coding RNA, 17374 nt
Organism: Oryctolagus cuniculus (rabbit)
Lineage: Eukaryota; Metazoa; Chordata; Mammalia; Lagomorpha; Leporidae
Source: RefSeq, a predicted model, not a curated record